UACAGGGGGUGCAAGCGUUGUUCGGAAUUACUGGGCGUAAAGGGCGCGUAGGCGGUCUAGCAAGUCAGGUGUGAAAUCCCGGAGCUUAACUCCGGAAUUGCAUUUGAAACUGCUAGGCUAGAGUGCAGUAGAGGUUGGUGGAAUACCUAGUGGAGAGGUGAAAUUCGUAGAUAUUAGGUGGAACACCGGUGGCGAAGGCGGCCAACUGGGCUGUAACUGACGCUGAGGCGCGAAAGCGUGGGUAGCAAACAGG
This 253-nucleotide ribosomal RNA is filed under the name uncultured bacterium. RNAcentral describes it as "partial 16S ribosomal RNA". It matches the Rfam family "Bacterial small subunit ribosomal RNA", at positions 524 to 776 of the family's 1533-position model. The record is from RNAcentral.